This 1155-nucleotide long non-coding RNA is filed under the name Zalophus californianus (California sea lion). RNAcentral's name for it is "lncRNA (ENSZCAG00015010333.1)". Lineage: Eukaryota; Metazoa; Chordata; Mammalia; Carnivora; Otariidae. The record is from RNAcentral.
CAAAAGGCUUUAGCUAGUUUCACCAGCUUCUUGCCUCUGCUUCAUUUGCACAAACAUAAAAGGAAUGUGCUGGCCUUUUGAUUUUUAUUUUAAAAACAGAAAUUGGAAGAACUUGUUGAGAAUAUUUGAUAUCACCAAGCUCAAGAACAGUCAGAGAAUUGUCUCCUUGGCAAAAGUUGGGGUUGGGAUGGGCUUAGUCAGCACUCUGGGCACUCAGUGCUCUUCAGAGAGACCAGUACUCUAGGGCUGCUUGGUGGGAGGAGUACACAACAUCAUUAGUCCCUGGGUGUAAACAAAGAGUGCCUUCAAUGGCUAUUUUGUUUUCUGGUUCGUCAAAGAACAAGGAUAAAGAGUAUGCUACCCAUGAUUAAUUCUGGAGAAAAAAAUUCCAUGCAACGAGAAUUUUUUCCAAGAUUUAAGACAAAACAAUAUUUUCAGCCCAUAUCAAAACCCUCUCAGGACAACUGAUAUUGUGCACUGUGGAGAAUGCUUAGGAGAAUGUGCUAUUUGUUCUCAUCCUUUUCCAGGCUUUGUCCUCAUGGCAAACUUCAAGGCCAACAAAAGACAAAGGCAGAGGCAAGGCUGCCUCUGGACAAAUGGUGUUACAUCUGCAGCACUUCUAGCCUGUCCCUGACCAAGUCUGCUUCUGCUGCUGGAAGAAGCCCUCAGGCAAAGUCACGGAUACUUGUUAGAAAGCCCUUGGUGUAUAAGGAAUAGAGACCGGAUAUUAGUGUGUCUGAUAGAAACCACCAAGUCAUAAAAUAAGACCUUGAACAUUCAGAGGAGGACCAACCCCAGAAAGAAUUCUUCUCGCUAUGGAUAUUUUUUAACAAGCCUACAAAAUGAUUUGUGAGUAUCUUAAAGAAACUACAGGAAAAAGGUCCUGAAAGGUAUCUUGCCAGUGAGUAUGAAAUGGUAAAGGUAAGAUGCAUAAAAGUCAUCUUUAUUUUAGUACAUGAGAACGUAAUUCUAAUGGCUUUCAGAGGUUUAUUCCAAGUAUCAUUUCCCCUAGUGUGAUUUCUGUCAUAGGGAUUUAAGUUCUUGAACCAUAGGGCCUUCUGCCUCAGAGUUCUUAAGAACAUGGUCUCUGUAAUUGAGGAACGACUUGUGUACAGCCUUUUUUAUUUCAUUUUUUAUUUGUAUAUUCAAUCCCAU